Molecule: non-coding RNA, 74 nt
Organism: Danio rerio (zebrafish)
Lineage: Eukaryota; Metazoa; Chordata; Actinopteri; Cypriniformes; Danionidae
Source: Rfam
GGCGCUGUGGCUUAGCUGGUCAAAGCACAUGUCUUGUAAACAGGAGAUCUUGAGUUCAAAUCCUAGCAGUGCCU